AGAUUGAACUGAAGAGUUUGAUCCUGGCUCAGAUUGAACGCUGGCGGCAUGCUUUACACAUGCAAGUCGAACGGCA
RNAcentral lists this ribosomal RNA (76 nucleotides) under Pseudoduganella rivuli. RNAcentral describes it as "partial 16S ribosomal RNA". It matches the Rfam family "Bacterial small subunit ribosomal RNA", at positions 1 to 71 of the family's 1533-position model. The record is from RNAcentral. Lineage: Bacteria; Pseudomonadati; Pseudomonadota; Betaproteobacteria; Burkholderiales; Oxalobacteraceae.